This 393-nucleotide ribosomal RNA is filed under the name uncultured bacterium. Its description in RNAcentral is "partial 16S ribosomal RNA". It matches the Rfam family "Bacterial small subunit ribosomal RNA", at positions 523 to 918 of the family's 1533-position model. The record is from RNAcentral.
CUACGGAGGAUGCGAGCGUUAUCCGGAUUUAUUGGGUUUAAAGGGUGCGUAGGCUGUGCGUUAAGUCAGGGGUGAAAUGCCGUCGCUCAACGACGGAGCUGCCCUUGAUACUGGCGUGCUGGAGUACGGAUGCCGUUGGAGGAAUGAGUGGUGUAGCGGUGAAAUGCUUAGAUAUCACUCAGAACACCGAUUGCGAAGGCAUCUGACGAAUCCGUCACUGACGCUGAGGCACAAAAGCGUGGGGAUAGAACAGGAUUAGAUACCCUGGUAUUCCACGCCGUAAACGAUGAUGACUAACCGUCGGCGAUAGACAGCCGGUGGCCAAGCGAAAGCGAUAAGUCAUCCACCUGGGGAGUACGUCGGCAACGAUGAAACUCAAAGGAAUCGACGGGG